This 393-nucleotide ribosomal RNA is filed under the name uncultured bacterium. Its description in RNAcentral is "partial 16S ribosomal RNA". It matches the Rfam family "Bacterial small subunit ribosomal RNA", at positions 523 to 918 of the family's 1533-position model. The record is from RNAcentral.
AUACGGAAGGUCCGGGCGUUAUCCGGAUUUAUUGGGUUUAAAGGGAGCGCAGGCGGAGAUGCAAGCGUGACGUCAAAUUUCGGGGCUCAACCCCGUCUCGCGUCGCGAACUGCGUCCCUUGGUUGCGGGAAGGGGAGGCGGAACUCGUGGUGUAGCGGUGAAAUGCAUAGAUAUCACGAAGAACUCCGAUCGCGAAGGCAGCCUUCCGGCCCGUCAACGACGCUCAUGCUCGAAGGUGCGGGUAUCAAACAGGAUUAGAUACCCUGGUAGUCCGCACAGUAAACGAUGGACACCCGCGGUUUGGCCUGUAUGGCUGAGCCGCCAAGCGAAAGCGUUAAGUGUCCCACCUGGGGAGUACGCCUGCAACGGUGAAACUCAAAGGAAUUGACGGGG